CAACAGGGAUUGCCUCAGUAACGGCGAGUGAAGCGGCAAGAGCUCAAAUUUGAAAUCUGGCUCCUUCGGGGCCCGAGUUGUAAUUUGGAGAGGAUGCUUCGGGCGUGGCUCCCAUCUAAGUGCCCUGGAACGGGCCGUCAUAGAGGGUGAGAAUCCCGUCUGGGAUGGGUGGUCCCGCCCGUGUGAAGCUCCUUCGAAGAGUCGAGUUGUUUGGGAAUGCAGCUCUAAGAGGGUGGUAAAUUUCAUCUAAAGCUAAAUAUUGGCCGGAGACCGAUAGCGCACAAGUAGAGUGAUCGAAAGAUGAAAAGCACUUUGAAAAGAGAGUUAAACAGCACGUGAAAUUGUUGAAAGGGAAGCGUUGGCAACCAGACUCGCCCGGGAGGGCUCAGCCGGCACGUGUGCCGGUGCACUCCCCCCCGGGCGGGCCAGCGUCGGUUUGGGCGGUCGGUCAAAGGUCUCGGGAAUGUAGCACCCUCCGGGGUGCCUUAUAGCCCGAGGCGCCAUGCGACCUGCCCGGACCGAGGAACGCGCUUCGGCUCGGACGCUGGCGUAAUGGUUGUCAACGGCCCGUCUUGAAACACG
Molecule: ribosomal RNA, 582 nt
Filed under: Penicillium sp. BLE22
Lineage: Eukaryota; Fungi; Ascomycota; Eurotiomycetes; Eurotiales; Aspergillaceae
Description: LSU rRNA
Rfam family: Eukaryotic large subunit ribosomal RNA
Source: RNAcentral